AGGGCCAUAGCCAAGCGGUAAGGCAGCGGGUUUUGAUCCCGUCAUCCCAGGUUCGAUUCCUGGUGGCCCUGCCA
Molecule: transfer RNA, 74 nt
Filed under: Gammaproteobacteria bacterium
Lineage: Bacteria; Pseudomonadati; Pseudomonadota; Gammaproteobacteria
Description: tRNA-Gln
Rfam family: tRNA
About the family: Transfer RNA (tRNA) molecules are approximately 80 nucleotides in length. Their secondary structure includes four short double-helical elements and three loops (D, anti-codon, and T loops). Further hydrogen bonds mediate the characteristic L-shaped molecular structure. tRNAs have two regions of fundamental functional importance: the anti-codon, which is responsible for specific mRNA codon recognition, and the 3' end, to which the tRNAs corresponding amino acid is attached (by aminoacyl-tRNA synthetases). tRNAs cope with the degeneracy of the genetic code in two manners: having more than one tRNA (with a specific anti-codon) for a particular amino acid; and 'wobble' base-pairing, i.e. permitting non-standard base-pairing at the 3rd anti-codon position.
Source: RNAcentral